Molecule: transfer RNA, 72 nt
Filed under: Cordylochernes scorpioides
Lineage: Eukaryota; Metazoa; Arthropoda; Arachnida; Pseudoscorpiones; Chernetidae
Description: tRNA-Trp
Rfam family: tRNA
About the family: Transfer RNA (tRNA) molecules are approximately 80 nucleotides in length. Their secondary structure includes four short double-helical elements and three loops (D, anti-codon, and T loops).
Source: RNAcentral
GGGCUGGUGGCGCAACGGCAGCGCGUCUGACUCCAGAUCAGAAGGUUGCGUGUUCGAAUCACGUCCGGCUCA